RNAcentral lists this ribosomal RNA (280 nucleotides) under uncultured bacterium. RNAcentral's name for it is "partial 16S ribosomal RNA". It matches the Rfam family "Bacterial small subunit ribosomal RNA", at positions 1066 to 1343 of the family's 1533-position model. The record is from RNAcentral.
CGUGAGAUGUUGGGUUAAGUCCCGCAACGAGCGCAACCCCUAUCUUCUGUUACCAGCACGUGAUGGUGGGGACUCAGGAGAGACUGCCGCAGACAAUGCGGAGGAAGGCGGGGAUGACGUCAAGUCAUCAUGCCCCUUAUGGCUUGGGCUACACACGUACUACAAUGGCUCUUAAUAGAGGGAAGCGAAAGGGCGACCUGGAGCAAACCCCAAAAACAGAGUCCCAGUUCGGAUUGCAGGCUGCAACCCGCCUGCAUGAAGUCCGGAAUCGCUAGUAAUC